AUUGAACGCUUGCGGCAGGCCUAACACAUGCAAGUCGAGCGAGCGGCGGACGUGUGAGGAAUGUAUGGGGACUGCCCUAUAGAGGGGGAUACCUACUGGAAACGGUAGCUAAUACCGCAUCCUAUCGGAUAACCCAUAUGGGAUUAGCUAGUAGGUGAGGUAAUGGCUCACCUAGGCGACGAUCCCUAGCUGGUCUGCGAGGAUGAUCAGCCACACUGGGACGGAGACACGGCACAGACUCGUACGGAGGCAGCAGUGGGGAAGAUUGCAAAAUGGGCGAAAGCCUAAUGCAGCCGUGCGGCGUGUAUGAAGAAGGCCCUAGGGUUGUAAAGUACUAUCAGUCGGGAGGCGUUACCGACAGAAGAGGCACCGGGUAACUCCGUGACAGCCGCCGCGGUAAUUC
Molecule: ribosomal RNA, 403 nt
Filed under: uncultured bacterium
Lineage: Bacteria
Description: partial 16S ribosomal RNA
Rfam family: Bacterial small subunit ribosomal RNA
Source: RNAcentral